This 1227-nucleotide ribosomal RNA is filed under the name Triticum aestivum (bread wheat). RNAcentral's name for it is "partial small subunit ribosomal RNA". The record is from RNAcentral. Lineage: Eukaryota; Viridiplantae; Streptophyta; Magnoliopsida; Poales; Poaceae.
AUGGAGGGCGAGGGAGAGCGCGCCGCGGCUCCGGCGGCCCCGGCCCCGGCGGCGGCGGCCGCCGCGGAGGUGAGCAACCCGAGGUGCUACUUCGACGUCAGCAUCGGCGGCGAGAUGGAGGGCCGGAUCGUGAUGGAUCUCUACGCCUCCGUGGUGCCGCGCACGGCCGAGAACUUCCGCGCGCUCUGCACCGGGGAGAGGGGCGUCAGCGCCGCCACCGGCACGCGGCUCCACUACAAGGGCUCAUCUUUUCAUCGUAUCAUCAAGGGUUUUAUGGUGCAAGGUGGAGAUAUAACUGCUGGUGAUGGAACUGGGGGCGAGUCAAUAUAUGGAUUGAAUUUUGAGGAUGAGAAUUUUGUUUUGAAGCAUGAGAGGAAAGGGAUGUUAUCAAUGGCAAAUUCUGGUCCCAACACAAAUGGAUCUCAGUUUUUCAUCACUACCACCCGAACACCACACCUUGAUGGGAAACAUGUUGUCUUCGGGAGGGUUGUAAAAGGGAUGGGAGUGGUUCGUGCAAUGGAGCAUGUUUGUGCUGGAGAAGCUGACCUUCCAACUGAUGAUAUUGUUAUUGUUGAUUGUGGGGAACUGCCAGAAGGUUCAACUGAAGGAGUUGCAAAUUUCUUCAAAGAUGGCGAUAUGUAUCCUGAUUGGCCUAUUGACCUCGAUGAAAAGCCUGCAGACGUUUUGUGGUGGAUUAAUGCCGUUGAUUCUGCAAAGUCUUUCGGGAAUGAAAAUUUUAAGAAACAUGAUUACAAGGCUGCACUCAGAAAGUACAGAAAAGCUAUGCGGUAUUUAGAUAUUUGCUGGGAGAAAGAAGAGAUAGAUCAAGAGAACAGCUCAGCCCUGCGGAAAACAAAGUCAAUUAUACUCACAAAUAGUUCUGCAUGCAAACUGAAGCUGGGAGAUGUGGAGGGUGCUUUGUUAGAUGCAGACUUUGCACUGCGUGAAACGGAGGGCAACGCAAAAGCUUUUUUCCGUCAAGGACAGGCACGCAUGGCACUCAAGAAUAUCGAUGCUGCAGUUGAGAGCUUCCAGCGUGCGUUGGAGUUGGAGCCAAACGAUGGAGGAAUCAAACGGGAGCUGGCUGCUGCAAAGAAGAAGGUUACUGACAGACGUAAUCUGGAGCGGAAGGCAUUUUCCAAGAUGUUCGAGACGUCAGGAAGUUCAGAGAAAAGUGAUGAAGUAUUGGCAGCAAGUUCAGAGAAAAGUGAUGAAGAUAAAAACUGA